CCACACACACACACACACACACGCAGUCCAGUGUCGAUGUAAGACAGGAAGACGCUGCUCAGGGACUGGUCUGUUGCAGACUAUCUUGGGACCCAUUAAGAGGUUUUUCAAAGAGCUUCUGUUCGAAGUCGAAAUUGGGAAUGCCUAGGAGGAGUCUCCAAAAGUGCGCUGACAGCCUGGGACGUGUACACUGGAGAUAGCGGCCUUGGCAAGCGGUAUAAGACUGCCUUUCGGACCAGGUUCUACCUUUUUCCGCCAGUGAAACAGCCAGGUCUAGGCAGAUUUGUAACUGUCUCCUGGAACACCGCUUCCGAAGGCUCACCCAAGCCAAAGGCCCUUGGAGAUCCAAGCCCAAAGUCUCUGCAUGCAAGGCGCUCCGACACGGGUCACCUAGAAGCGUAGAGCCCGGGCGGUAGCCGCUGCGAGGCGCGGCGUCCUGGGUGGCCAGUGGACUUCGGAGCUGAGAGCGACGGUGGAUCCCUGGAGCGCAGAUCGAGGGGCAGCCUCCUCGCCUAGGGCUUCCACUUGAGUCUACACUGCACCUUUUGGCAUCCGUUCCCGCUGAAGGCUACAGGAGAACAGGACUCACCCUUCCAACGCCCAGAAACAGGCCCAGGAAGCCGGCAAAACAAAACAGAAAAACCACCCCUCCGUUCUGAGUCCAUCCAAAGCCGGCAUCUCCUACGGACUGCGAAUUUGAGCUUCCGCACAGAAUUCGCCUAGAGCUCCGAGGAGCGGUCCCUAGGCGCGACCAGGCCAAGGGCCAGCUCCGUGCGACAUCCUGGCUACCUUGUCACCGGGGCUGGGAGGAAGACCACAGGGCAGGCAUUGAGAGUCGGGACUGACUAGGGGAGGCUUGUAGAAGGGUGCGUGGGAAAAUGCACGUUGGAACAUUUGACUCUCCUCUGUUCAAGGCUUCACAGCAAGACCCAAAAAGCCUGCGCUCCCGGGGAGGGUGAGGUGGUUUGUCCCUGUUCGGGCACUCACUCAGAGCUCAGGCGGAACCUCUGGCAGAAUCUGAGGGAGUCUGACACGGAGAAGGACCCUGCAAGGCUGAGCUUAGGUGAGAGGAGAGCUUCUGAGCUGGAGAAGAGUCCAGUCACUGGAGGGUUUCCUUUCAGCUUCCUGUCCAGAUCUCUUGAACUCGAACUCUGCUUCUGCUUUAAGAUCCCGGUUUGAGUUCCAGACCUGAAGGCUGGCGCGCUCUCUCUCUCCCUCUCUCUCAUA
Tupaia belangeri chinensis (Chinese tree shrew) is the source of this 1227-nucleotide long non-coding RNA. RefSeq lists it as uncharacterized. The record is from RefSeq and is a predicted model, not a curated record. Lineage: Eukaryota; Metazoa; Chordata; Mammalia; Scandentia; Tupaiidae. The transcript has 3 exons.